GACGAACGCUGGCGGCGUGCUUAACACAUGCAAGUCGAGCGAGACCUUCGGGUCUAGCGGCGGACGGGUGAGUAACGCGUGGGAAUAUGCCCUUUGGUACGGAAUAGCCUCGGGAAACUGAGAGUAAUACCGUAUGUGCCCUUCGGGGGAAAGAUUUAUCGCCAAAGGAUUAGCCCGCGUUGGAUUAGGUAGUUGGUGGGGUAAUGGCCUACCAAGCCUACGAUCCAUAGCUGGUUUGAGAGGAUGAUCAGCCACACUGGGACUGAGACACGGCCCAGACUCCUACGGGAGGCAGCAGUGGGGAAUCUUAGACAAUGGGGGCAACCCUGAUCUAGCCAUGCCGCGUGAGUGAUGAAGGCCUUAGGGUUGUAAAGCUCUUUCAGCUGGGAAGAUAAUGACGGUACCAGCAGAAGAAGCCCCGGCUAACUCCGUGCCAGCAGCCGCCGUAA
Molecule: ribosomal RNA, 449 nt
Filed under: uncultured bacterium
Lineage: Bacteria
Description: partial 16S ribosomal RNA
Rfam family: Bacterial small subunit ribosomal RNA
Source: RNAcentral